Molecule: ribosomal RNA, 292 nt
Filed under: uncultured Acidobacteriota bacterium
Lineage: Bacteria; Pseudomonadati; Acidobacteriota
Description: uncultured Acidobacteria bacterium partial 16S ribosomal RNA
Source: RNAcentral
GGACUACUGGGGUAUCUAAUCCUGUUUGCUACCCACGCUUUCGUGUCUCAGCGUCAGCUAUGGUCCAGAAAGCCGUCUACACCGCAGGUGUUCCUCCUGAUAUCUACGCAUUUCACCGCUACACCAGGAAUUCCGCUUUCCUCUCCCACGCUCGAGCACUCCAGUUUCCGGCGCACCCUCCCAGUUAAGCCGGGAGAUUUCACACCGAACUUAGAGCACCGCCUACACACUCUUUACGCCCAGUAAUUCCGAACAACGCUCGCUGCCUACGUAUUACCGCGGCUGCUGGCAC